UCAGCCAUUUUGGACUGAACCAAGUUUGUUGAGUCAAUUGGAAAUAAGCUGAAUUUUUAAAUGACAUCGUUUUGUGUGAUUAAAAGAGGAUAAGUGUUCCUUUCGGUUUUUCUCAUUCUAGAACAUUCAUUUUGUCUUUGGUUUUCUCUUUGUUUUUAGAUCUGAAAACUUAUUUUGUAGAUUUGAUUUUCAUUUUCAAGAUAUCUUCAAAAUUUGGUUAUGGAGUGAUGUUUUCCAAAAUUUCAGGGUUAGCAGCGGUGGCAACUUCCACUUCGGCAGCGACAAUUACCACCUAGGUGCACCGUCUCCUCCUACCAAAUUGACCCACUUCUCUGCCUUGAGUUUUUUUUAGAUACACUUGUUCUGUAGAAAAAUUCAAGGUGCUAGAUCUAAUGCUUUUUGUUUGUGCUAAUUAAUUUUGCAAUUUGUGCUCAAUGUUUUGUCGAAUUACGAAAGUUGGUAGUGUUUCAUGGGAUUUUAGUUGGUUAAAGGUACCACUUCAAUGACAAGAAGCCCUAAAUUUUCUUAGAAUUUGUUCAUGAAUUAGCGAAAAAAAUAAAACUCAUUUAUUAUUGGGUAUAAGUUUUGCUUUACUUUAUUGAUGCUUUCAAACAUCUUGAUUCACUUGAGGUAUGUUUAAAAUAGUGUGUUUUCAUUCCAAUAUUUUGAUUCUGCUUGAAAAGCUCUUUUCUUGAUGUGCGAGCAUCAAUUUUUACACUUCACAACCUAUCUAGAGGAUUCUGCAAGCGUGCGAGCUAGGCUGUAACAUUUGAGCAAUAUCCUUCUUUAGGUAAUCGUGUUGUGCGUACCUUCAAAUCUAUGUACCUAGCAUAAUUGAAAAUGAAAACAUUAAGAACUAGAUAACAUAAUUCUUCUUCACAAAUCUUUUGUAUGACUCAGCUCUAUACUGUUUAAUUAUCACCACAAAAAACAAAAGCAAAGAAAUUCACAAGCAAUUAAUUUUAUAUCAUUCAAGUAUUUCCAUACCACAUAUAUUGCUUUCUAUAUUAGAAUUUAUUGAAUGAGAAACAAUGUAUUAAACUCCAUGAAGGAGAAGAUGAAUUACACUCCAUGAAAGGAGGAAAUGAACAGCUCCAUAAAAGGAGGAAGACACUCCAUAAUAGGAGGAAAUGAAAUCUCCAUGGAAGGAGGGAUUGGAGGACAAUCCAAUAGACUAAAAAUUCAUCCACGGUGCUGUAUUUAUAGAGCAAAAUGGCUAAAGUAAUUAACUAACUAAUUAGCUAAUUAACAAACUAAUCAAUAACUAACUAACAACUAAGACAGCUGGACACAACCGUUUUGGAAUCUGAUAUGUUGAGAUGGAAGUCUCUAGAAUCUGGUGCACACAUGAUGCUGGAAUCUGCUGAUGUUUGGUGCAUGUGUAUUCCAACAUUCUAUUCUUUAUCUAUGUCGUUUGAUUUUUGAUAAUUUUAAAGCAACGUUUAAAAUUCUCCAAAAGGGAUUUCUAUUAUGUUUCACAACCUUAUGUUGACCAUAUUAUCUUUGUAGUAUACGCCGUAAAAAAGAGUUGAAGUGAAUUUUUUCCUGUUGAGAUGAGCCAAUUAGUGGUAGAUUUAUAUGUGUUGUUGUGUAUGUAUUUUCGCAGUUUGUAUAAUAUAUCUGCAAGAACGUAGGAUUUGACUUUUGAAAAUAGCUCUGAUUCACCAUGUCUCAGAAACUGGUUUGACAUAUCCAGCAAGCAAGAAGUGAUACAAAAGUUGAGACAACAAUUAAAGAGAAAAGAUUACAUGAUGCUAGAAAUACAAGAUCAGAUUGCAAAACUUUGAGACUCUUUGUGAAGUGCAUUUGUAUUCUUUCCAUCUACAAUAGCUGCUCGAUUCUACAAACAGGGAUCUGUUUGAUUCCAAAGGAAAAUAUAGAGAUUAAGAAAGGCAAUUGCAGAUAAUUAUGGGGGACAUAUGGUUUUUAGUGACAAUUCCCUUGCUGUUCAUCUAGCAGAAGGAAGGAAUGGCCACACAAAUGGAUAUUCCGAGAUUGAAAGCAAUCUUGAUUCUUAAGAAAAAGGGAGAGGAGAUUGGGAUAUAACAUUGAAACAUUAAGAAGGGAAGUCAGGGGGUGAAAAGAAGUAAUAAUCCAAAAUCUCAAAACUUUUGGGCUGUCGUAUCUUAUCUAAACUCAAAAUAUUAGAAAUUUCAAACAUAUGUUUUUUUACGUGUGAUAAGGAUUAAGAAUAAAAGUAGAUGUCAUGGUAUCUUGUUAAUAUAUAACUGAGAAAACAUUUUGAAAAAAAAAUAAAAUAAAAGAUAAUUAUUUUUAGAAGUGAAAAGUUAUAUCGUUGAAUUAAUUUUCAUGUUAUUAUAUUUAUUCAAGACAUCUUUCGGUAAGCUUCCAAGAUUGAGCUUCUUGUUCAUCUUGUGGAAUUAAUUGAUGAUUGUAGGUGUUUAGUCAAGAAAGCUUGUUUGGUUUUACCGUUCUUGAUUAAUCUUUAGGUUCGAUUGAUUUUCUUGAUUUUGGUUUUUUUUUUCAUUAGUAAGCAAAAAGAAAAAAAAAACAUUUUUGCUGUUCUGAUUAUAUGUCAUAAUUUAUUGUAUCUAUUUAAUGAGUUAAACCAUGUGGUAUUGCCUAAUUGUUUCUAUGCACAACUAAAAAACAAUGUAAUUUCGUUCUUCACAUGUCCUAUUACUAAAUAGUAUUUGAUCUUUUUCACUUAGCUUGCACUUUAGCAACAUGAGUUUUUGUUGACUUCCUUGAAGUGAGAUGUGUUUGAUGUUACAGGUGCCUUCCAGAAUUUCAGGGACUACAUCAAAUUUUGUGAUUAAUAAACCCGAGAUUUAAUUUAAACAACCCAAUUUCCUGCAAUUUAUGAAGGAAGCUAAGGAUAUGGAUCUGGAUUUAUGGUAUUUUGUUGAACAAAAGAACAUUUAAUAACCAAUAUCGAUUCUCCAGUAUUUUAUAUUCCAUUUCUGACUUUUAGCAUGCGAACUUUUAUAGCUCUUGUAAGAGGUUUAGUACUUAGCACAAUAUUCAUAUUUUGUAAUUGCAAUUUAGCUAAGACAUCUUGCAGUUGUAGCAUGGCAGGUAUUAAUCAGGGUUGAAAUUAUAAAAGAAAAUGGAAAUAAUAUAAUCAAUCUCUGUCUUCAAUAAACAUUACACGCAUACCAACGAACAAGCUGGAGGAAAACAAAAAAGUGGAGAAGAGGAACUACAACAUUAGAUUUCAGGAAUACGGAUUAUGAGUGCCCUAUUUGAGUCCCAUUUUUUCAAGAAUUCAUUUUUUCAAAUCUCACUUUCAACUAUACAUUCUCUCAUAAAAUAAAAUACGUAUUUUAAACAUUUUUCUUGAUUUUUAACCACACAUUCUCCAAAAAAUCACUAUUCUAUAAUCCAUUUUACCCAAGAAUGGGGAUCAAACAGGGACUAGAUUUCCAUUACAAAGUAAACUUUACCUUUCUCUUCACUAUUUUGUCUUGGUCAGUGGUGGAUCUAGGAGUUGGAGCCAACUAGGGCAGUUGGUAACCGUCGACUGAUGCAUUAACAAGAUCGUUUAUUAAUAUUUUAUUAAAUAAUAUUAAAAAAAUUUAAUUAAUAUAUAAAUGCAGUAAAACGUAAAUCACAUAUUAACA
RNAcentral lists this long non-coding RNA (3584 nucleotides) under Olea europaea (common olive). Its description in RNAcentral is "long non-coding RNA (OEUR_LNC005336)". Lineage: Eukaryota; Viridiplantae; Streptophyta; Magnoliopsida; Lamiales; Oleaceae. The record is from RNAcentral.